RNAcentral lists this unclassified non-coding RNA (1192 nucleotides) under Hevea brasiliensis (rubber tree). Lineage: Eukaryota; Viridiplantae; Streptophyta; Magnoliopsida; Malpighiales; Euphorbiaceae. The record is from RNAcentral.
AAACUUGAACAACAGCAUCUUCUUGUGUGACCCCAAAUGUUGAUCAGAGAAAUGCAUCGAAAUGAAACCUUUACCAAAUUUCUCAUAUGCUUUGUCACCAAAAACCUGAUCAAGCACGGUUUCAUUGAGCAUAUCCCCUGCCACCUCCUUUGACUCAGCUACAACAGCUAACUCCUCAGCAAUCCACUUCUUACCACUAGGUGGACUCACCAAUGAUGCAAAUCUCUGCAGAUCUGUAGUCUCCUUUUGCAUUGUCUUGGCCAAUUUCUUCUUAGCCACAGCAACAACCACAUGAUCCAUUGCAUCAUCAUUCAUAUACACCUCAAAGGUUAUCUCAUCUUUGCAAGGCACAACCAUAUUGUACAACCUGGAAAUCAAAUCGUGCCUACUUUUAAGCUCCAUGGUAGCCAGCAAACCCUGGCAAAAUCUCCUCCCACUUGCAUAAAACUUGAACACAUUUUGUCCUUCUUUUAACAACAACGGUGAAUCAUCAGUUUCCCCAACACCCAACAAACUGAAAUUCUUAUCAAAUAUGGAGUCCUUCGUUGCAAAUUUACUAGCCCAAGCUAAGGCUAAUUUCUCAUUCUCUUUUUUCCCAGUAAAAUAGUUUAUAACGAACAUAAUCAAAAAGGAAACACAAACUAUCUCAACAGUAUAAGACGAUAUGGUUUUCGGACUUUCAGGCUCAGACUCUGGUUCAAGUUUCAAACUGGGAUCAGAUUUAGAAGCAGCAGCAGUGUCAGAUUCCGUAAUUAAAGGUGAAUCAGAGGGUGGAGAUUGAGGGAAACCUUCGAACUCAUCCUCAUCCCAGACCUCAAAGGAUGUGGAGGCGGGUUUCGGAUCGGACGGCUGCGAUGUAACUUGAGAGGUGGGAUCAGCUGAAGGAAGAGGAGGACCAUGAUGAGAUUCAAUAGGGUCGGAAACUGAGAGGGUAGUGGUAGGGGGAGGAGGAGGGAUGUAUUUAGCGGCGGAUAUUGGUUCGUCGGAGUCCCCAAAGUCGUCGAUCUCAUCGGCGUCGAAACCCUCGAAGUGGCGGCUCUCGGCGGAGACAGGGGAGAGAUGGUGGAUAAGAAGGGAUAGGAUGGAGAAAAGGGCAAUAAGGUAAAAGAGAGUGUCGCCUCUAGGGAGGAUGAAGGAAGAGAGAGGAGAGAGAGAAAAGGAGUGCUUCGCCAUGACAGAGUUUCGAUUUGAU